UACGAAGGUGGCAAGCGUUACUCGGAAUUACUAGGCGUAAAGGGCAGGUAGGCGGUUCGGUUAGUCUGUUGUGAAAACCUAAGGCUCAACCUUGGGCUUGCAGUGGGUACGGGCAGACUAGAGUGCGGUAGGGGUGACUGGAAUUCCGUGGUGUAGCGGUGGAAUGCGCAGAUAUCAGGAGGAACACCGAUGGCGAAGGCAGAUCUCUGGGCCGUAACUGACGCUGAGGAGCGAAAGCAUGGGUAGCAAACAGG
This 254-nucleotide ribosomal RNA is filed under the name uncultured bacterium. RNAcentral describes it as "partial 16S ribosomal RNA". It matches the Rfam family "Bacterial small subunit ribosomal RNA", at positions 524 to 776 of the family's 1533-position model. The record is from RNAcentral.